AAAACCAGUUGCAAUCAACUGACGAGAUAUCUUCUUUCAUAAUAUCAUGCAUUUAAUAUUUAAAUAUAUAUAUAGCAAGAUUUGAGUUACCAAAAGUAUGUAUAUAUUAUAACGAGAAUAUCUUAAAAAUUUAUUAGAAGAUAUUCUAUCUCAUAGCUUCUCUUGAAAUCUAGGUCAUUUAGAAAAUUAAACUAAUUUAUUAUAUAAUAUCACGCCACCCCCAUUAGUUUCACGCGUCUAUCUUUUAAGUUUUCAUAUGUUUUUGAUCGUUCUAAUUUAAAUUCUACUUUUGUGAUCUUGUGCAGGUGUAUGAUAAUCAAUAUGUAACUCAUAGACGGGAACACCAUUACUGGUAAUUUUAUUGGGGAUUCUUCUUCUUCGUUUAUUUUUGUUCUCUUCCUCUCCAUGUUGUAUCUCUAUCUAUAUUUUUGAAUCAGUAGUGAUUCAACUAACAAAAAAAGAGACGACUCUGUUUAUCCAAGAACUGAUCAUCCCUUUCGAAAAAGGUAAUUCUUUUUUUUAUAAAGUUCAAUCACUUAGCAAGAAUAUAAUAUAAGAUGUGUAUGCUAAUCAAGUACAAUUUAUUUAUUGUGCGUGAUCCUCUUCAGGUACGUCUGACGUAGGUAAUCUCAAAGCUUUUUAAAAACUUUGAAACUCAUUGACGUUGUCCUAUCAAUUAUAUAAUUUUUUUAUCUUUUGGGGAUUGUUUACAUCUUUAAAUAUUUUUGUUAGAAUUACCUCUUUUCUGACUCAAGGCUUAGAGAAGGAAACCGUAAAUCAUCUCUACUGUUACAAUGAAACCAAUGAUAAUAAAUUUCAGGUAAUUCAAAUCUCUCUUUUAUAUUUCAUGGCUGAUUUUUUUAUUGGGGUUAUGCGUGAAAUAUUUGUUUUUUCUCAAUUAUAUUUUUCUGAUGUUUUAAGAUUAGUGUUAAAUGUGAUCGUUUGAAGCAUAAUGCAUUCUGAGAACACACCUCCAUGAUAAACACUUCUAUGUAAAUUGUGUCAAUUAUGUUAGUGAUUUUGCAUCUGAGAAUUGUGACUGAUGUUCCAAGAGAGAAAGCGUAUCAUCUCAAACCGAGAUUGUUGGGAAAGAUAAUUGGUUUAUAGAUGUAAUUGGAUAAUUGACAUCUAAAGGAUACAUUUUUUUAGAUAGUACCAAACAGUCUUUUUAAACUUUUUGAACUCUAACUUUUUGAACUAACAGAAUAAUCAUGCUUAACCUAUAAGCAUUUCAAAGAGUUAUGUGUCUAAAGGAUACGCUUUUUCAGAUAUAAAUGAUACGUUUUAUUAGAUUGUACCAAGCAGUCCUUUUAAACUCAAACAAUGCCAUGUUAUGAGUUGUAUACAUUGUAUUGACUUUUUUAAACAAGUUUUUUACUUUUUUUUUUUUAGUUUCACCUGAUAAGAAGUUUGAAUUACAGACUUGACAUUUUAAAAUUUAUAUUAUUUGUUUGUGUAAUGGUGCAGAGGUUUCAAUGAGAUCGGCUUAUCGUUCUUCCAAGAAAGUAAAAGACUAUGAUAAGCUUGAAGCUGAAGUGAAGAAGAAUAAAAGGAUGAUAAGUCUGAAGAAGACGCUGCUUUGAACAAGUUCUUCCGUGAGAUAUAUUUAAAUUCUGAUGAGGAUAUGAGGAGUGCUAGAGCAAAUCAUUUGUAAGUUAUUCCUAUUUAGUCUUUCUUUUUUCAUGGAGAUUACAACGUUUUUGACAUUUUGAUUGACUUUUUUGCAGUUUUGCACAAUCAACAGGUGAAAUCUAUUGGGACAGUGCUUUCAAUAGACUGGAAAGAUGUUGGUACUAAGAAAAUCGAGAGUAUUCUUCAUGAUGAUCUGGCGCUCAAGACAUGGAAAAUAUUAUCUUACUAGUAUUAUCCCCGGUGCUACGCACCUACAAUUUUAAUGUUUUCUAAACUAUCUGAUCAUAAAAUUGUAAUGAUUAUCAAAAUAAAUUAUUGUUUUAUUUAUCUAUUUUCUUAACCUAUAUAACAUAUUAAUACAUAAAUUUAGAAAUACUGAACCAACUUCUAUGAUGUUAGUUUUGAAAAAUAUAUUAUAUUGAAGAAAACUAUUAAACAUACUUAAAGAUAUCUAAGUUUUGUUUAUUUAAACAUAUUUUUAGAUAUCAUAACUAAAAAUGUAGAUGUGUUUAUCUUUGUCCAUAAGAAAGCUUUCCGAUUUUUCAUCAUUUGUGAAAGUUUAAGCUAGAAAAUAGAAGAAUAAAAUCUUCAACUUUGAAUCAUGAAGAAAAAUAUAGGGGUAAUAUAAAUGUGUUCAAUAAAAGAGAAUAAACGAUUUAAAUAAUUAAUUUUUGCCACAUUCAAAACUAAAAUAAAACCAUAAAAAGAUGACUGCCGAGGAAGGCAAGAGAAAGAAAGAUUAUCAUUUCUUCUCAGUAUUCUUUUUACACCAAAAAAAGAGAAUGCAAAUAUAGUUUUAAAAAAAAAUGGAGAGAUGAAGCAGUUACAUAUUGAAAGAGUUACUAAAUUCAUUUUUGUACGUGUGAGAGAAAAAUAUGAAUUUUUGCAGUUAACCUAAUAUUUGAAGUCAAUAGAACGUGGCAUGAUUUUGAUUUAUUUGAAUUUUGUAAAACAAUUACACAUGUCAAAAUUUUAUUGCUUGAGUGACUUGUGCUUUAGUAUAUAAGGGAUAUGAUGUGUUGGUUUUACCUUAAUCUAGACAGAACUCGAAGCAUUGAUCUUAAAGUCUGGUUUCUCUACUUAAUGGAUUUAAGGUACUUUGUAUUUUUCAAAAUUCAUAUUGUUUAUACGAGACACUAAAUUUUUUAAUCUAAACGUUCUAAUGUAUUCUUUGUUCAUAUGAACAUAGUAUAAAUAUCAAUAUGUAACAUUGAAUCUUUCAUAUUAACCACAUACAUAUAACAUAAGUAUUAUAUAAUUGUAAUUAUAUAAUUAUCAAUUUAAUAUUAAUGUUAACGUCCGCACAAUAUAUGUUUAUAAGGACCAACUUAUUUUUCUAACAAUUUUAAAAAUUAUUUUCGUAAUGACACGUGGCUACGAAAAAAAAUAUUUUACACGUGGCAACGAAAUGAAAUAUUUUAAUAAAAUAAAAAGAAUAAUUUCAUAAAUUAUUAUAUAUUGAUUCAAUUUUAUAUUUAUAUAUUGAUUUUGUUGUAAAUGAGAUGUGUGUCACAAAAUAUAUCAUGUUAUGGAACAAAAAUGUCUCUGGCGAAGAAAAGGGCGAAACUAUCGAUGAAGAUCGACAUGAGAUCUCCGGUUACGGCUGAGAUCAGAGUGAGUUGGGUUCGACUUGAGAAAUAUGAGAAGAGGGGAUCCAGUAUUUGUGGUUUUCGGAUGGUUUGGCUCGAGAUUUUGAGGCUCUGUUUUAGGAAAUAGUGAAGGAUUUGCAGUAACGUAAGAUCUUCCAGUGCUUGGAGGGUCCUACUCCUAUGGAAACAAUCUACGGGAUAUACGGAAUCUGGGUUGGUAGAGAGGUUGAGAAUGAAAGCGGAAGAAACUGCUGAGGUUUUAUGGGAUCGCAAUAACUCGAAGAACUUUGUGAUUUGGAUACGAGGGAUAAGCGGUGUUUUGCGGAUAGCGAUUUCGAUAGAGGAGUCCAUAUAUUUUCUUAAGGUAAAACUGUGGAAAGGAUUAGAGGAAAGGAGUAUUUUGAGAGGAGAGGACAGGAUUCGUGGCCCAUUCAAAGAUUGGAAGAUCUAUUGUGGCAAAAAAGUUUUGUUACAGGGUAGGACUUGCAUUGUGAAUGAGAGACCAAUGAUUCUCUGCGGUAAAGAUUAGACAAAUGAAUGACAAUUUCUAGAAUCCACAUGUAAGGCAAGCUGAUCAUGGUCCUAUUUUUACAAUUUAUAUUGUGCUGGAUAAUGUUUUGUCAUGUAUGAUACACAUGGAUUGCAAUAUUGAUUUAGUUAUGUUAUGGGGAGGGUUGAUAAUCAAAUAAUUCUUCUCUGUUUGGGGUUUAUUGAAGAAAUUACAUUAUUUCGGAUUUUUCUUGGCUUAUUAGCAAGCUUUUGAUUUUUUUUCAAUCUUCUUAUAAGCUAUGGAAUAAAAUUGGCUCUUUUUGGGUUCUGGA
Molecule: long non-coding RNA, 4042 nt
Organism: Brassica rapa (field mustard)
Lineage: Eukaryota; Viridiplantae; Streptophyta; Magnoliopsida; Brassicales; Brassicaceae
Source: RefSeq, a predicted model, not a curated record